Molecule: ribosomal RNA, 292 nt
Filed under: uncultured bacterium
Lineage: Bacteria
Description: partial 16S ribosomal RNA
Rfam family: Bacterial small subunit ribosomal RNA
Source: RNAcentral
GUGCCAGCCGCCGCGGUAAUACGUAGGCAGCGAGCGUUGUUCGGAGUUACUGGGCGUAAAGGGUGUGUAGGCGGUUCUUUAAGUUUGGUGUGAAAUCUCCCGGCUUAACCGGGAGGGUGCGCCGAAUACUGAGGAACUAGAGUGCGGGAGAGGAGAGUGGAAUUCCUGGUGUAGCGGUGAAAUGCGUAGAUAUCAGGAGGAACACCGGUGGUGUAGGCGGCUCUCUGGACCGUAACUGACGCUGAGACACGAAAGCGUGGGUAGCAAACAGGAUUAGAAACCCGCGUAGUCC